GAUGAACGCUGGCGGCGUGCCUAAUACAUGCAAGUCGAGCGAACAGACGAGGAGCUUGCUCCUCUGACGUUAGCGGCGGACGGGUGAGUAACACGUGGAUAACCUACCUAUAAGACUAGGAUAACUUCGGGAAACCGGAGCUAAUACCGGAUAAUAUAUUGAACCGCAUGGUUCAAUAGUGAAAGACGGUUUUGCUGUCACUUAUAGAUGGAUCCGCGCCGCAUUAGCUAGUUGGUAAGGUAACGACUUACCAAGGCAACGAUGCGUAGCCGACCUGAGAGGGUGAUCGGCCACACUGGAACUGAGACACGGUCCAGACUCCUACGGGAGGCAGCAGUAGGGAAUCUUCCGCAAUGGGCGAAAGCCUGACGGAGCAACGCCGCGUGAGUGAUGAAGGUCUUCGGAUCGUAAAACUCUGUUAUUAGGGAAGAACAAAUGUGUAAGUAACUAUGCACGUCUUGACGGUACCUAAUCAGAAAGCCACGGCUAACUACGUG
RNAcentral lists this ribosomal RNA (497 nucleotides) under uncultured bacterium. RNAcentral's name for it is "partial 16S ribosomal RNA". It matches the Rfam family "Bacterial small subunit ribosomal RNA", at positions 28 to 507 of the family's 1533-position model. The record is from RNAcentral.